UACUGUUAGUUUUCUUCUUUUUUAUUGCAUACAAGAGAAAUGAAAUUGUAUUACCAUGCGAAUGUCAGUGCUUCAAGUUUGAUAAUCAGUUGUAUGCUUCAUUAUUUUAUCACCUUGGUUGGUUGUGGCUUGCUUAUAUUGUUUCUCCGUAGCAACGAUUCCAAACCUGGAGCGACUACAAAUUUAAUCCAGAUUCUCUAUUUCCAAAUAAAAUCUAUGCGUGUCCAUAAUUUGGUUUAUGUUGUUGAAUUGUAGUAAAAAUCUUUUUGCGUUUGAACUGCAGUUGUGAUCCUUGCGAGUAGCUUGAAUUCAGAUUCCAUUAUGCGCCUUUUCGCCUUGAAAGAUGCUCAAGAUCCUAUAUUACAGGGAAUUAUAAAUCUAGGAAGCAGAAGGAUCACCCCCAAGAUGUUCCUUCUUAGCUAAUGAUUCCAGACAAAAAGAGUUUGAUGCACAUACAAGGAAUUCAAGUGGUGGUAGAAUAACAAAAAACUGAAAGCUAUGUUUGAAUUACCAAU
Molecule: long non-coding RNA, 515 nt
Organism: Panicum hallii
Lineage: Eukaryota; Viridiplantae; Streptophyta; Magnoliopsida; Poales; Poaceae
Exons: 3
Source: RefSeq, a predicted model, not a curated record